This 481-nucleotide ribosomal RNA is filed under the name uncultured bacterium. RNAcentral describes it as "partial 16S ribosomal RNA". It matches the Rfam family "Bacterial small subunit ribosomal RNA", at positions 28 to 507 of the family's 1533-position model. The record is from RNAcentral.
GAUGAACGCUGGCGGCGUGCUUAACACAUGCAAGUCGAACGAAGCACUUUAUUUGAUUUCCUUCGGGACUGAUUAUUUUGUGACUGAGUGGCGGACGGGUGAGUAACGCGUGGGUAACCUGCCUUGUACAGGGGGAUAACAGUUGGAAACGGCUGCUAAUACCGCAUAAGCGCACAGCAUCGCAUGAUGCAGUGCGAAAAACUCCGGUGGUAUAAGAUGGACCCGCGUUGGAUUAGCUAGUUGGUGAGGUAACGGCCCACCAAGGCGACGAUCCAUAGCCGACCUGAGAGGGUGACCGGCCACAUUGGGACUGAGACACGGCCCAAACUCCUACGGGAGGCAGCAGUGGGGAAUAUUGCACAAUGGGCGAAAGCCUGAUGCAGCGACGCCGCGUGAGCGAAGAAGUAUUUCGGUAUGUAAAGCUCUAUCAGCAGGGAAGAUAAUGACGGUACCUGACUAAGAAGCACCGGCUAAAUACGUG